This 872-nucleotide long non-coding RNA is filed under the name Callithrix jacchus (white-tufted-ear marmoset). Its description in RNAcentral is "lncRNA (ENSCJAG00000070701.1)". The record is from RNAcentral. Lineage: Eukaryota; Metazoa; Chordata; Mammalia; Primates; Cebidae.
CACAACCUGUUCCUGUGUAUUGGUGAGAAAGUUAAAUCAAACUCGGGACAGCAUUGCCAUGCCACAGGCAUAAGGACUGGGGGAGCAAUUGACUUUUACCAUUGAAUCGAAAUUUCAGCAGCUUUUGGGCUACUCGCCAUCUAAAGGCAACAGAACCUUUUUCCUUGCAAACAGAAUUCAGAUCCCAACACCAGAUUGCCACUUUGCUCUCCUCUCUUCCUCUUGAAUUUUCCCUGUUAAUUCCCAGAGGAAUAUCCUGGCUGUCAGCCCAUGGCACAUCUUUUUGGACACCAGGAAAAGCUUUUUUUUUUUUUUUUUUUUUUUUUUUAAAGAAUGCUAACUGUGCCCUACUUUGAGCCAGGGAUUAUGUAAGAAGGAGAAAGUAGUGCAAGGGAGAACAAUGCCAUUGAUUGAGGGCUUACUGUUUGUGUGGUAGGCACGGUGUUUAGCACAUGGGAGUCUCAGGAAUCCGAACGAAUGCAAUCAGAUGGACCAAUAGAAACUGAAUCUGGUGAAGAUGACGAGCAUGAAGAUGUUGAUGAUAAUCCACUUCUACUUAAUGAACGAUCGCUUGCUUCAAGGGAAACCAGUGGCUAUCUUGUGAACAACCAUAUGAAGAGGCUUGCCCUGUGAUCCUCACGAGUAGGCUUGACCAUAGGUCUUCAAGCCCUAAUCAAACCUUCAGAUCACGGAAAUUCCAGCCAAGAACUUGAUGGCAACCUUGUGAGGGACCUGGAGCCAUUCAGCUAAACACUUCCAGAUUCCUGACCCUUAAAAACUGCGUGAGAUGAAAAAUUGUUGUUGUAAGCUGCUAAAUUUGAGGUCAUUUGUUACCUAGCAAUAGUAACUCAUAUAGUAAGGAUUUUGGGUUU